This 215-nucleotide small nucleolar RNA is filed under the name Aotus nancymaae (Ma's night monkey). Its description in RNAcentral is "Small nucleolar RNA U3 (ENSANAG00000010306.1)". It matches the Rfam family "Small nucleolar RNA U3". From Rfam's summary of the family: Small nucleolar RNAs (snoRNAs) are involved in the processing and modification of rRNA in the nucleolus. There are two main classes of snoRNAs: the box C/D class, and the box H/ACA class. U3 snoRNA is a member of the box C/D class. Lineage: Eukaryota; Metazoa; Chordata; Mammalia; Primates; Aotidae. The record is from Rfam by way of RNAcentral.
AAGACUAUCCGUUCAGGGAUCAUUUCUGUAGUUCAUUCUAGAGAAGUUUCUCUGAAUGUGUAGAGCACCGGAACCCACGAGGAAGAGGCGCCGUUUUCUCUCCCGAGCGUGAAGCUGGCUUCCGGUGUUGCUUCAGUGCCACCGCCACCUGUCACUGAUGAUCGUUCUCCUUUCCUCUUCGGAGAGUAAGAGGGAGAAGACGCUGUCUGAGUAGA